This 348-nucleotide unclassified non-coding RNA is filed under the name soil metagenome. RNAcentral describes it as "partial contains 5.8S ribosomal RNA, internal transcribed spacer 2, and large subunit ribosomal RNA". The stretch from base 1 to 120 matches the Rfam family "5.8S ribosomal RNA", at positions 35 to 154 of the family's 154-position model. The record is from RNAcentral.
GAUGAAGAACGUAGCGAAAUGCGAUAAGUAAUGUGUAUUGCAGAAUUCAGUGAAUCAUCGAAUCUUUGAACGCACAUUGCGCCCGCCAGUAUUCUGGCGGGCAUGCCUGUCUGAGCGUCAUUUCAACCCUCAUGCCCCUAGGGCGUGGUGUUGGGGAUCGGCCAAAGCCCGCGAGGGACGGCCGGCCCCUAAAUCUAGUGGCGGACCCGUCGUGGCCUCCUCUGCGAAGUAGUGAUAUUCCGCAUCGGAGAGCGAUGAGCCCCUGCCGUUAAACCCCCAACUUUCCAAGGUUGACCUCAGAUCAGGUAGGAAUACCCGCUGAACUUAAGCAUAUCAAUAAGCGGAGGA